This 1410-nucleotide long non-coding RNA is filed under the name Homo sapiens (human). RNAcentral's name for it is "HSALNT0144954". The record is from RNAcentral. Lineage: Eukaryota; Metazoa; Chordata; Mammalia; Primates; Hominidae.
CGGACUGUUUCUGUGGCCUUCUGGGGCUGUCCUUGGGGAAUUCUGUUGGGACGGACUGUUUCUGUGGCCUUCUGGGGCUGUCCUUGGGGAAUUCUGUUGGGACAAACUGUUUCUGCAGCAUUCUGGGGCCAUAGUUGGGAAAUUCUGUUGGGACGGACUGUUUCUGUGGCAUUCUGGGGCUGUCGUUGGGGAAUUCUGUUGGGAUGGACUGUUUCUGCACCUGUCUGUUGGACAAGCAGUUAAGCCCCUCAUGAGUAGAGAGACCCUGCCUCGUCCAUCCUUGUGCCUCCAGGGUCUAGCCCCAUGCCUGCAUGGCCGCCAUUCCUGGACCUGGACUUGACAUCCUGUUCUGAGUUGCAGUAGUUGUUCCGUAGUUACAAAGCAGUGUGUGCACGGGGAGAGGGCAGUGGCAAGGGAGCACCUGCACAGGGCACCAGGCCUCUCCAGGGAUGUGGACAUGGGGGCUGGACUCCCAGCUGCAGACCUGCUGUGGGGUGCCUCUGAUCAGGACUUCGGGGUGCCUCUGAGCAGGACUUCUUCUGAAGCAAGACUAACGGGAGCCUGGAGGCGACGGGAGAAGCCUGUUCAGAGUCCCCGGGAUGAAGCGGGCCCCUAGUGAGCGGGACCUGCUGGCUAGCUGGGACCCCCCAUUCUCUCUGUGUCAAAUGGGCAUGCUUGCUCUUCCCUCUUGAAGUAUGGUGAGGAUUAAAUAAUGGAGAAGGUGUAGACAGCUCUAAAACCCAAUGAGUGCGGCUGUCGUCAAUAUGCAGGCCUCUCCGUAAACCAGCGUUAAAGAGCUCUGCAGAGUUUUGCAGACAGUGAGGAAGCCGUGUGCUUCCCGGCAUGCAUCCUUUAUAUGUUUCUCUGGGUGUUUGUUUCCAAUUAGAAUAAUCAAUUACACACUUGCCAGGUGUCUCAUGUAUGAGCCAGUUGGGAAGAUUAAAACUGGACAUUAAUGCAGCAAGAGGAGGUGCUUAACUCGUGUGAUAAGGUAGCAAAAACCAGGGUGAGAAUAAAACACUUUCGGGAAAACUAAACAGCGGACUCAGUAUCUGUCACCAAACUGUGGCCAGCGUGGUGAGGUGACAAGAACAGCCUUUCUGAUCAGUUUGGAGGUUAAAAAGACUUGUGGAAUGAUUGGGUCAUGAGAAGCACAUGGUUUAUUUCAGUAAAGCUUCUUUUACAUAAGCAAGUUUUAGUCUAAAGAAAGAUUUCACAUUAAGGGAAAGUAGAAUUACAGAUUGACUCAGCACUUCAUUUACAUGUCUUUAAAAAGUGGCUAAGAAAAAUAGUCCCCUUUGUAAGGGGCUAUUGUAAGAAAAUGAUUGCAAGAAAAACCCCAUAGUAAUUGUAAGAUGAUUGUAAGAAAAACCCCAUAGUAAAUACAAAACCAUAGAAGCCCUUUUUGUA